Oncorhynchus keta (chum salmon) is the source of this 877-nucleotide long non-coding RNA. RefSeq lists it as uncharacterized. The transcript is spliced from 3 exons. NCBI's taxonomy places the organism in Eukaryota, Metazoa, Chordata, Actinopteri, Salmoniformes, Salmonidae. The record is from RefSeq and is a predicted model, not a curated record.
CCUCCCUAUGGGCCCUCCCUCCCUAUGGUAGGUAAACAUUAGAUAUAAACCCUUAGUUGGUAGGUAAACACUAGAUAUAAACCCUUAGUUGGUAGGUAAACAUUAGAUAUAAACCCUUAGUUGGUAGGUAAACAUUAGAUAUAAACCCUUAGUUGGUAGGUAAACAUUAGAUAUAAACCCUUAGUUGGUAGGUAAACAUUAGAUAUAAACCCUUAGUUGGUAGGUAAACAUUAGAUAUAAAUGUGAGUUCUUGGACUGCCCAAAGUGAGCCAGCAAGAUAGACUUAAUGAGGUACAGUAUACAAGCGUAAACAGAGUAGAUGCCCCAGCAGACAGACAGGUUAUUAAACUCACUGAGGUAGAAGUGGAAACAGAGUAGAUGCCCCAGCAGACAGACAGGUUAUUAAACUCACUGAGGUAGAAGUGGAAACAGAGUAGAUGCCCCAGCAGACAGACAGGUUAUUAAACUCACUGAGGUAGAAGUGGAAACAGAGUAGAUGCCCCAGCAGACAGACAGGUUAUUAAACUCACUGAGGUAGAAGUGGAAACAGAGUAGAUGCCCCAGCAGACAGACAGGUUAUUAAACUCACUGAGGUAGAAGUGGAAACAGAGUAGAUGCCCCAGCAGACAGACAGGUUAUUAAACUCACUGAGGUAGAAGUGGAAACAGAGUAGAUGCCCCAGCAGACAGACAGGUUAUUAAACUCACUGAGGUAGAAGUGGAAACAGAGUAGAUGCCCCAGCAGACAGACAGGUUAUUAAACUCACUGAGGUAGAAGUGGAAACAGAGUAGAUGCCCCAGCAGACAGACAGGUUAUUAAACUCACUGAGGUAGAAGUGGAAACAGAGUAGAUGCCCCAGCAGACAGACAGGUUAUUA